UUGCUAUCUGCGAUAUGGAAGAUUCGAACCUGCUGCAGGUUCGGGUCUCACGCAGUGAGACAACGGAGCCGUUUACGGCGACGGCCCGAAGGGCGAGCAAAGCGAGUCAUCCUGCACGACCCACCA
This 126-nucleotide small RNA is filed under the name Salmonella enterica. Its description in RNAcentral is "RtT sRNA". It matches the Rfam family "RtT RNA". From Rfam's summary of the family: This family represents a bacterial cis-regulatory element known as RtT RNA. The exact function of RtT is unknown although it is thought that it may be involved in changing the cellular response in relation to amino acid starvation. RNAcentral also lists the same sequence under 1 other name. The record is from RNAcentral. Lineage: Bacteria; Pseudomonadati; Pseudomonadota; Gammaproteobacteria; Enterobacterales; Enterobacteriaceae.